GCGGAUAUGGCGGAACUGGCAGACGCACCAGGUUUAGGUCCUGGCGGGGCGACCCGUGGGGGUUCAAAUCCCUCUAUCCGCACCA
RNAcentral lists this transfer RNA (85 nucleotides) under Pseudomonadota bacterium. RNAcentral describes it as "tRNA-Leu". It matches the Rfam family "tRNA". Rfam says of the family: Transfer RNA (tRNA) molecules are approximately 80 nucleotides in length. Their secondary structure includes four short double-helical elements and three loops (D, anti-codon, and T loops). Lineage: Bacteria; Pseudomonadati; Pseudomonadota. The record is from RNAcentral.